AUUGAACGCUGGCGGCAGGCCUAACACAUGCAAGUCGAGCGGAUGAAGGUAGCUUGCUACCGGAUUCAGCGGCGGACGGGUGAGUAAUGCCUAGGAAUCUGCCCGAUAGUGGGGGAUAAC
This 120-nucleotide ribosomal RNA is filed under the name uncultured bacterium. Its description in RNAcentral is "partial 16S ribosomal RNA". It matches the Rfam family "Bacterial small subunit ribosomal RNA", at positions 30 to 147 of the family's 1533-position model. The record is from RNAcentral.